GAUGAACGCUGGCGGCGUGCCUAAUACAUGCAAGUCGAGCGAACGGACGAGAAGCUUGCUUCUCUGAUGUUAGCGGCGGACGGGUGAGUAACACGUGGAUAACCUACCUAUAAGACUGGGAUAACUUCGGGAAACCGGAGCUAAUACCGGAUAAUAUUUUGAACCGCAUGGUUCAAAAGUGAAAGACGGUCUUGCUGUCACUUAUAGAUGGAUCCGCGCUGCAUUAGCUAGUUGGUAAGGUAACGGCUUACCAAGGCAACGAUGCAUAGCCGACCUGAGAGGGUGAUCGGCCACACUGGAACUGAGACACGGUCCAGACUCCUACGGGAGGCAGCAGUAGGGAAUCUUCCGCAAUGGGCGAAAGCCUGACGGAGCAACGCAGCGUGAGUGAUGAAGGUCUUCGGAUCGUAAAACUCUGUUAUUAGGGAAGAACAUAUGUGUAAGUAACUGUGCACAUCUUGACGGUACCGAAUCAGAAAGCCACGGCUAACUACGU
This 496-nucleotide ribosomal RNA is filed under the name uncultured bacterium. RNAcentral's name for it is "partial 16S ribosomal RNA". It matches the Rfam family "Bacterial small subunit ribosomal RNA", at positions 28 to 506 of the family's 1533-position model. The record is from RNAcentral.